Molecule: ribosomal RNA, 502 nt
Filed under: uncultured bacterium
Lineage: Bacteria
Description: partial 16S ribosomal RNA
Rfam family: Bacterial small subunit ribosomal RNA
Source: RNAcentral
AUUGAACGCUGGCGGCAUGCCUUACACAUGCAAGUCGAACGGCAGCAUGGGUGCUUGCACCUGAUGGCGAGUGGCGAACGGGUGAGUAAUGCAUAGGAACGUGCCCUGAAGUGGGGGAUAACGUAGCGAAAGUUACGCUAAUACCGCAUAUUCUGUGAGCAGGAAAGCAGGGGAUCGCAAGACCUUGUGCUUUAGGAGCGGCCGAGGUCGGAUUAGCUAGUUGGUGAGGUAAAGGCUCACCAAGGCGACGAUCCGUAGCGGGUCUGAGAGGAUGAUCCGCCACACUGGGCCUGAGACACGGCCCAGACUCCUACGGGAGGCAGCAGUGGGGAAUUUUGGACAAUGGGCGCAAGCCUGAUCCAGCCAUGCCGCGUGAGUGAAGAAGGCCUUCGGGUUGUAAAGCUCUUUCGGUGGGGAAGAAAUGGUUUCGGUUAAUACCCGGAAUUGAUGACGGUACCCGCAUAAGAAGCACCGGCCAACUACGUGCCAGCCGCCGCGGUAA